Molecule: ribosomal RNA, 497 nt
Filed under: uncultured bacterium
Lineage: Bacteria
Description: partial 16S ribosomal RNA
Rfam family: Bacterial small subunit ribosomal RNA
Source: RNAcentral
GAUGAACGCUGGCGGCGUGCCUAAUACAUGCAAGUCGAGCGAACAGACGAGGAGCUUGCUCCUCUGACGUUAGCGGCGGACGGGGGAGUAACACGUGGAUAACCUACCUAUAAGACUGGGAUAACUUCGGGAAACCGGAGCUAAUACCGGAUAAUAUAUUGAACCGCAUGGUUCAAUAGUGAAAGACGGUUUUGCUGUCACUUAUAGAUGGAUCCGCGCCGCAUUAGCUAGUUGGUAAGGUAACGGCUUACCAAGGCAACGAUGCGUAGCCGACCUGAGAGGGUGGUCGGCCGCACUGGAACUGAGACACGGUCCAGACUCCUACGGGAGGCAGCAGUAGGGAAUCUUACGCAAUGGGCGAAAGCCUGACGGAGCAACGCCGCGUGAGUGAUGAAGGUCUUCGGAUCGUAAAACUCUGUUAUUAGGGAAGAACAAAUGUGUAAGUAACUAUGCACGUCUUGACGGUACCUAAUCAGAAAGCCACGGCUAACUACGUG